Molecule: ribosomal RNA, 253 nt
Filed under: uncultured bacterium
Lineage: Bacteria
Description: partial 16S ribosomal RNA
Rfam family: Bacterial small subunit ribosomal RNA
Source: RNAcentral
UACGUAGGCAGCAAGCGUUGUUCGGAAUUACUGGGCGUAAAGAGCGCGCAGGCGGUCGUGCAAGUCGCGUGUGAAAGCCCCCGGCUCAACUGGGGAGGGUCACGCGAUACUGCUCGACUCGAAGGCAGGAGAGGGAAGUGGAAUUCCCGGUGUAGUGGUGAAAUGCGUAGAUAUCGGGAGGAACACCAGUGGCGAAGGCGACUUCCUGGCCUGUUCUUGACGCUGAGGCGCGAAAGCUAGGGUAGCAAACGGG